This 301-nucleotide ribosomal RNA is filed under the name uncultured bacterium. RNAcentral describes it as "partial 16S ribosomal RNA". It matches the Rfam family "Bacterial small subunit ribosomal RNA", at positions 509 to 807 of the family's 1533-position model. The record is from RNAcentral.
CAGUAGCCACGGUAAUACGUAGGUGGCAAGCGUUGUCCGGAAUUAUUGGGCGUAAAGGGCUCGCAGGCGGUUUCUUAAGUCUGAUGUGAAAGCCCCCGGCUCAACCGGGGAGGGUCAUUGGAAACUGGGAAACUUGAGUGCAGAAGAGGAGAGUGGAAUUCCAAGUGUGGCGGUGAAAUGCGUAGAGAUGUGGAGGAACACCGGUGGCGAAGGCGACUCUCUGGUCUGUAACUGACGCUGAGGAGCGAAAGCGUGGGGAGCGAACAGGAUUAGAUACCCCAGUAGUCCCUGUCUCUUAUAC